Molecule: transfer RNA, 69 nt
Filed under: Extatosoma tiaratum (giant prickly stick insect)
Lineage: Eukaryota; Metazoa; Arthropoda; Insecta; Phasmatodea; Phasmatidae
Description: tRNA-Gln
Source: RNAcentral
UAUAUUUUAUUGUAUGAUGCAUAUAAGUUUUUGAUACUUUAGGUAAUAGUUUAAUUCUAUUAGGUAUAA